This 1069-nucleotide long non-coding RNA is filed under the name Oncorhynchus mykiss (rainbow trout). Its description in RNAcentral is "lncRNA (ENSOMYG00000070590.1)". Lineage: Eukaryota; Metazoa; Chordata; Actinopteri; Salmoniformes; Salmonidae. The record is from RNAcentral.
AACACUCACACCUGCGUUAACGAGAGAAUCGCUGACAUGUCAGCUGAUCCUUUUGUGGCAGGGCUGAAAUGCAGUGGAAAUGUUUUUUGGGGAUUCAGUUCAUUUGCAUGGCACUUUGCAAUUAAUUGCAAUUCAUCUGAUCACUCUUCAUAACAUUCUGGAGUAUAUGCAAAUUGCCAUCAUUCAAAAUGAGGCAGCAGCCUUUGAAAAUUAAUAUUUGUGUCAUUCUCAAAACUUUUGGCCACAACUGUACAUUUGGAUACAUUUACAGAUUACUUUCAGUUCAGCUGAUGUUUUUUGUGAAGGGGAGGAUCUGCUGAUUGAGUGGAUUUUAACUUGGCAGCUGCAACACCACUUCUUUGCCAAUGCCCCUAUGCAGGAGCUUUUCCUUCGUGGCUUGUUAGUGAGGUGUUUGUUCUCUGCCUCUGCAGGAUGCAGUAACAUACAGAUUCUAUUACACACCUUACCAUCCACUCUGAUGCUGUUAGAAAUAAGCCAACAUUGAGUUUUCUUUAAGCCCCUUCAACUAGUUUUGACACGGACUCUAUUCAUUUAAUUUCCCACUGAUGUCAACAUGACAAACAAAUGAAAUAUGUCUAUUACAAGGGCAUCCUCUGCAGGGUCGGUGUGUAUUUAUUUCCCAUGUGACUGACUUACCAUACUGUCCACUACUUUCCUCAGCUCUCCAACAACAACCUGCCGUGGACCAGCAGAGGAAAUUCAACCCCUGCUGUUUACAGAGUCCACCCCCGCCCCCCCUAUUCCCUCCUCCUCCCUCACUGUGGCACCCCGGUGGUCAUAAUGAGGAGACCAGUAAGGGAGGUGAUCACAGACCAGAUCCAGAUACAGGGACGGAGCUGAAAGGGCCCAGCUGUGUCCCAGGACCCCCUGGCCCCAACGGACCCCCGGUCCUCAGGUAGGUAAACCUAUCCACCCCCAAAUGUCUCUGUUAAUGUUGUCAUCCCACUGGCUUCAUCAAUUCAAUAUAUCUUUUUUAAGCCCGAUAAUGGCCCAUACAGUUAUAAUACGGUUAUAAUGCAGAUAUUUGGAAGAGUAUUUCAUCAGGGUU